GAAAUGCGAUAAGUAGUGUGAAUUGCAGAAUUCAGUGAAUCAUCGAAUCUUUGAACGCACAUUGCGCCCCUUGGUAUUCCAUGGGGCAUGCCUGUUCGAGCGUCAUUUGUACCCUCAAGCUCUUCUUGGUGUUGGGUGUUUGUCCCCGUCUCCGCGCGUGGACUCGCCCCAAAGUGAUUGGCAGCCGGCGUACUGGUCCCGGAGCGCAGCACAUGUCGCGCAAACGAGUGCCUUGGUACGGCGGCGUCCAUAAGCCCCUCUCUCACGCUCUUGACCUCGGAUCAGGUAGGGAUACCCGCUGAACUUAAGC
Molecule: unclassified non-coding RNA, 310 nt
Filed under: plant metagenome
Description: partial contains 5.8S ribosomal RNA, internal transcribed spacer 2, and large subunit ribosomal RNA
Rfam family: 5.8S ribosomal RNA (bases 1-105)
Source: RNAcentral